RNAcentral lists this ribosomal RNA (473 nucleotides) under uncultured Pseudomonadota bacterium. RNAcentral describes it as "bacterial SSU rRNA". It matches the Rfam family "Bacterial small subunit ribosomal RNA", at positions 355 to 821 of the family's 1533-position model. Lineage: Bacteria; Pseudomonadati; Pseudomonadota. The record is from RNAcentral.
UGGGGAAUAUUGCGCAAUGGGCGAAAGCCUGACGCAGCCACGCCGCGUGAGCGAUGAAGGCCUUCGGGUCGUAAAGCUCUGUGGGGGAGAGACGAAGAAAGCCCGUGAAGAGCGGGCCUUGACGGUAUCUCCUUAGCAAGCACCGGCUAACUCCGUGCCAGCAGCCGCGGUAAUACGGAGGGUGCAAACGUUGCUCGGAAUCAUUGGGCGUAAAGCGCACGUAGGCGGCGAAGCAAGUUGGGUGUGAAAGCCCUGGGCUCAACCCAGGAAGUUGCAUUCAAAACUGCUUCGCUUGAAUCUCGGAGGGGGUCAGAGAAUUCCCGGUGUAGAGGUGAAAUUCGUAGAUAUCGGGAGGAAUACCAGUGGCGAAGGCGCUGACCUGGACGAAGAUUGACGCUGAGGUGCGAAAGGCGCGGGGAGCAAACAGGAUCAGAUACCCUGGUAGUCCGCGCUGUAAACGAUGAGUGCUAGAC